AUAAAAUGAGCUGGAUUUAGGCCCAGUCCGGCCAUCCAGUGCCUCAGCUUCUCCAUUCCAGCUCUUCCCUAACCUACCACCUAGAGGGAUGAAAUCAUGUAGCUCAUGAGUUCAUAGAUUCUCACAAAUGAAGGUGUUAUGGCACAGUUAUUAUAAAUAACUACUGGGCUAAAUUUCCUCCCCUGCCCCGCACACACACUUACUGCUUGGACAUGUGAAACGGUUUCCCUUGACCCUUUGCUGUUUCCUGUUUUUCUUUUUAAAUCACUCUUGAUUUUAAAAAGGGCUGGGAAAUGAUCAAGUUCCCUUCUCUACAAUUAUUCAUGUAGAGAUUAAUAAUUGAUCGAAGCUUUGUAAAUCUGAACCGGGAGCAAAUACAGAUAAAACUCUAAUGACGUGGACUAAUUAAUAGGAAUUUAGUGGUGUGGUAGCAUUCAUUGUGCUUCAGCCAAGAUCAUUUAUAGAGAAAUUGCUGAAAGAUCCUAGGUGCCAAGAAGAUCUUGAUACCCAGAAGCUCCAGAGCAUACAACUUUCAACUCCAAGGAACAUGUGAAAAUAUACUCGAAGCCCGUGAAUUUUAACGAGCAUGCAAAAUGGAGGUCUCAAGACUCCUACUCUCUUUGUUGUGUAAGAUUCAUGUAAAAGCAAAGCACUUUUGGGAAUCCAGCCUGCCGGGAAAUAAUGAAGGGUUUAGGUGAUUAAACAAGAGCUUUAACCCGUAGAUACAAGAAACUAGUUGAGGAUUACUCAGAAAAGCUGAAGGCAAUCUUGAGAAUAAAUAAAUAGGAUUUACUUGAGGAAUUCCUACUGUAAAUUGUUUGUCUACUACUGUAAAUCAUCUUUGUUAAAUGCCUCAUCUUAAUUAACUUAGAGAAACUGCUUGUAAGACAGCAGAGUGGAUUUUUACAAACUUUCUGGUUUAAAAGGUAUGUUUUUUCUUGGCACGGUUUCGGUAUUAUAGAGGAAAUGCCAGAAUACAGUAAACUUAAACUGCUCCACCAUCUGUAGUAUGGCAAAUUGGGGGCAAUCUGUUUUCUGACCCUGGGGAAGGGUUCAGGGGCCAGGAUUCACUUCCUGCCACAUCUCCCAUGCACUCCAGGGACAAAAAUGGCUGGAGAGCACGCAUAUAAUUCCUCUCAGAUCCAUCCCUCAAGAGUUAUUUUCCCUGAAAGUUACCUUUAAGCAUCAUUGUGUGAUUCACUGAAUCAGUGUGUCACAAAAAAAUAAUGCUUACCGUUUACUUUUGCAGGUUCACCUUUGGAAAUAUGCACAUGUUGAUUUUUAUUUUGGAAGAUUCAUCUUUGGAAAUAUGCACAUGUUGAUUUUAUUUUGGAAGGGUUGGCCCCUUGAGUUGUAAAGAAGAUUAUUUUUUUAAAUCACUUGACAGCGGAUAAGGUAUUUUGAUGAGAAGAGAUUGCUCAAAUUCUUCCUCCUAGAUUAAAACAAACACAAGUCUCCUUCAAAAUAAGCAAUCUAAUAAAAUUCUGAAAGAAUAGUCAUAGUUGGAAUUCUAGAUUCUGAGGCUUCCUGGAAUGUUCAUUAGCUUCUUUCAUAUUGACCAAUGCUAUAUGUCAUGCCUUAUCCAAUCCCCCAACUUCCUGUGUGGUAGAUUCACAUUGCUUUUUCUAUUCCACUUUCACAGUCAUGAAAAACAAAAAGGUUCUGCUUUCUUUUCUCGUGCAUCUAAAGUAUCUUGCAGUAGUAGCACAAAAAUUAAAACCAAGUAACUACUUUUACAUUCACAAUACUCAGCAAAUUGCCAUUCACUGGAAGAGUGCUAGUUGUUUUCAUAAUCACUUUUAACAGGCCUUUUAGAAAAUGUAUUAAAAAUAAAUUUUCCUGAUCAAAUGCAAGUGAAUCUCUGAGGUAUUUUUUGAGCUUCUCUAAGAAUCUUGAUAGAGCUCCUGAGAGCUCUAUUUCCACAGUAAAAGGAAGCAUUUGGUUUUUAGAAGUAUUUAAUUGCUAGUACAAAAUAUACUUAAUCUCUCGAGACUUAUUUUGGCUUUGGAUGCAUGUUUAUCGUUGGCGUUUGAUCAUUUAUGGUUAAAGUAGGACUCUUUUAAAUACAUACAUUAGAUUAGCAUAAAAUCUUGUAACUGCU
Long non-coding RNA from Ornithorhynchus anatinus (platypus), 2101 nucleotides. RefSeq lists it as uncharacterized. Lineage: Eukaryota; Metazoa; Chordata; Mammalia; Monotremata; Ornithorhynchidae. The transcript is spliced from 3 exons. The record is from RefSeq and is a predicted model, not a curated record.